AAUAGAUACCCCGGUAGUCCACGCCGUAAACGAUGAGUGCUAAGUGUUAGGGGGUUUCCACCCCUUAGUGCUGCAGCUAACGCAUUAAGCACUCCGCCUGGGGAGUACGGUCGCAAGACUGAAACUCAAAGGAAUUGACGGGGGCCCGCACAAGCGGUGGAGCAUGUGGUUUAAUUCGAAGCAACGCGAAGAACCUUACCAGGUCUUGACAUCCCGCUGACCGCUAUGGAGACAUAGCCUUCCCUUCGGGGACAGCGGUGACAGGUGGUGCAUGGUUGUCGUCAGCUCGUGUCGUGAGAUGUUGGGUUAAGUCCCGCAACGAGCGCAACCCUUGUCCUUAGUUGCCAUCAUUCAGUUGGGCACUCUAAGGAGACUGCCGUACAAAUACGGAGGAAGGUGGGGAUGACGUCAAAUCAUCAUGCCCCUUAUGACCUGGGCUACACACGUGCUACAAUGGACGGUACAAACGGUCGCGAAGUCGCGAGACGGAGCCAAUACCGAAAAAACCCGUUCUCAGUUCGGAUUGCAGGCUGCAACUCG
RNAcentral lists this ribosomal RNA (540 nucleotides) under uncultured bacterium. Its description in RNAcentral is "bacterial SSU rRNA". It matches the Rfam family "Bacterial small subunit ribosomal RNA", at positions 777 to 1314 of the family's 1533-position model. The record is from RNAcentral.